Molecule: ribosomal RNA, 253 nt
Filed under: uncultured prokaryote
Description: partial 16S ribosomal RNA
Rfam family: Bacterial small subunit ribosomal RNA
Source: RNAcentral
UACAGAGGGUGCGAGCGUUAAUCGGAAUUACUGGGCGUAAAGCGCGCGUAGGCGGCUUUGCAAGUCGGGUGUGAAAUCCCCAGGCUUAACCUGGGAACUGCAUUCGAGACUGCAUUGCUAGAGUAUGGUAGAGGGUGGUGGAAUUUCCUGUGUAGCGGUGAAAUGCGUAGAUAUAGGAAGGAACACCAGUGGCGAAGGCGACCACCUGGACUGAUACUGACACUGAGGUGCGAAAGCGUGGGGAGCAAACAGG